This 214-nucleotide ribosomal RNA is filed under the name uncultured bacterium. RNAcentral's name for it is "partial 16S ribosomal RNA". It matches the Rfam family "Bacterial small subunit ribosomal RNA", at positions 104 to 334 of the family's 1533-position model. The record is from RNAcentral.
CGGGCUGAGUAACACGUAGGAACGUACCCCAAAGUGAGGCAUAAGCACCAGAAAUGGUGUCUAAUACCGCAUAUGGCCUUAGGGUUAAAGCUUCGGCGCUUUGGGAACGGCCUGCGCAUGAUUAGCUUGUUGGUGAGGUAAUAGCUCACCAAGGCGACGAUCAUUAGCUGGUCUGAGAGGAUAAUCAGCCAGACUGGGACUGAGAACGGCCCAG